GGUUAAGCGACUAAGCGUACACGGUGGAUGCCCAGGCAGUCAGAGGCGAUGAAGGGCGUGCUAAUCUGCGAUAAGCGUCGGUAAGGUGAUAUGAACCGCAACAACCGACGAUACCCGAAUGGGGAAACCCAGUGCAAUCCGUUGCACUAUCAUGUCAUGAAUACAUAGUGGCAUGAGGCGAACCGGGGGAACUGAAACAUCUAAGUACCCCGAGGAAAAGAAAUCAACCGAGAUUCCCCCAGUAGCGGCGAGCGAACGGGGAACAGCCCAGAACCUGAAUCAGUUUGUGCCUUAGUGGAAGCGUCUGGAAAGUCGCGCAGUAAAGGGUGACAGCCCCGUACACAAAAAGGCACUUGCUGUGAGUUCGAUGAGUAGGGCGGGACACGUGACAUCCUGUCUGAAUACGGGGGGACCAUCCUCCAAGGCUAAAUACUCCUGACUGACCGAUAGUGAACCAGUACCGUGAGGGAAAGGCGAAAAGAACCCCGGCGAGGGGAGUGAAACAGAACCUGAAACCGUGUACGUACAAGCAGUGGGAGCACCUUCGUGGUGUGACUGCGUACCUUUUGUAUAAUGGGUCAGCGACUUAUAUUCUGUAGCAAGGUUAACCGUAUAGGGGAGCCGCAGGGAAACCGAGUCUUAACUGGGCGUUAAGUUGCAGGGUAUAGACCCGAAACCCGGUGAUCUAGCCAUGGGCAGGUUGAAGGUUGGGUAACACUAAACUGGAGGACCGAACCGACUAAUGUUGAAAAAUUAGCGGAUGACUUGUGGCUGGGGGUGAAAGGCCAAUCAAACCGGGAGAUAGCUGGUUCUCCCCGAAAGCUAUUUAGGUAGCGCCUCGUGAACUCAUCUCCGGGGGUAGAGCACUGUUUCGGCCAGGGGGCCAUCCCGGCUUACCGAUCCGAUGCAAACUGCGAAUACCGGAGAAUGUUAUCACGGGAGACACACGGCGGGUGCUAACGUCCGUCGUGAAGAGGGAAACAACCCAGACCGCCAGCUAAGGUCCCAAAGUCAUGGUUAAGUGGGAAACGAUGUGGGAAGGCCCAGACAGCCAGGAUGUUGGCUUAGAAGCAGCCAUCAUUUAAAGAAAGCGUAAUAGCUCACUGGUCGAGUCGGCCUGCGCGGAAGAUGUAACGGGGCUAAACCAUGCACCGAAGCUGCGGCAGCGGACGUAUCACCCAGGCACAUUCACAGAAGUGGAUAACGAUUGACGGAGCGCAGCGACGUCAAUGCGCCCAUUAAAGUCGAGUGGGCCUCGGGAUACGUCCGUUGGGUAGGGGAGCGUUCUGUAAGCCGUCGAAGGUGGACCGUGAGGUCUGCUGGAGGUAUCAGAAGUGCGAAUGCUGACAUAAGUAACGAUAAAGCGGGUGAAAAGCCCGCUCGCCGGAAGACCAAGGGUUCCUGUCCAACGUUAAUCGGGGCAGGGUGAGUCGACCCCUAAGGCGAGGCCGAAAGGCGUAGUCGAUGGGAAACGGGUUAAUAUUCCCGUACUGGGUGUUACUGCGAAGGGGGGACGGAGAAGGCUAUGUUGGCCGGGCGACGGUUGUCCCGGUUUAAGCGUGCAGGCUUGAGUUCCAGGCAAAUCCGGAACUCUUUAAGGCUGAGGCGUGAUGACGAGGCACUACGGUGCUGAAGUGACAAAUGCCCUGCUUCCAGGAAAAAGCCUCUAAGCAUCAGGUAACAUCCAAUCGUACCCCAAACCGACACAGGUGGUCAGGUAGAGAAUACCAAGGCGCUUGAGAGAACUCGGGUGAAGGAACUAGGCAAAAUGGUGCCGUAACUUCGGGAGAAGGCACGCUGGGCGCGGUAGGUGAAGCGACUUGCUCGCGGAGCUGAAGCCAGUCGAAGAUACCAGCUGGCUGCAACUGUUUAUUAAAAACACAGCACUGUGCAAACACGAAAGUGGACGUAUACGGUGUGACGCCUGCCCGGUGCCGGAAGGUUAAUUGAUGGGGUUAUCCGUAAGGAGAAGCUCUUGAUCGAAGCCCCGGUAAACGGCGGCCGUAACUAUAACGGUCCUAAGGUAGCGAAAUUCCUUGUCGGGUAAGUUCCGACCUGCACGAAUGGCGUAAUGAUGGCCAGGCUGUCUCCACCCGAGACUCAGUGAAAUUGAACUCGCUGUGAAGAUGCAGUGUACCCGCGGCAAGACGGAAAGACCCCGUGAACCUUUACUACAGCUUGACACUGAACAUUGAGCCUUGAUGUGUAGGAUAGGUGGGAGGCUUCGAAGCGUGGACGCCAGUCUGCGUGGAGCCAACCUUGAAAUACCACCCUUUAACGUUUGAUGUUCUAACCUGGCGCCGUAAUCCGGCGUGGGGACAGUGUCUGGUGGGUAGUUUGACUGGGGCGGUCUCCUCCCAAAGAGUAACGGAGGAGCACGAAGGUCAGCUAAUCACGGUCGGACAUCGUGAGGUUAGUGCAAUGGCAUAAGCUGGCUUGACUGCGAGAGUGACGGCUCGGGCAGGUGCGAAAGCAGGUCAUAGUGAUCCGGUGGUUCUGAAUGGAAGGGCCAUCGCUCAACGGAUAAAAAGGUACUCCGGGGAUAACAGGCUGAUACCGCCCAAGAGUUCAUAUCGACGGCGGUGUUUGGCACCUCGAUGUCGGCUCAUCACAUCCUGGGGCUGAAGUAGGUCCCAAGGGUACGGCUGUUCGCCGUUUAAAGUGGUACGCGAGCUGGGUUUAGAACGUCGUGAGACAGUUCGGUCCCUAUCUGCCGUGGGCGCUGGAAGAUUGAGAGGGGUUGCUCCUAGUACGAGAGGACCGGAGUGAACGCACCGCUGGUGUUCGGGUUGUCAUGCCAAUGGCAUUGCCCGGUAGCUAAGUGCGGAAAAGAUAAGCGCUGAAAGCAUCUAAGCGCGAAACUUGCCUCGAGAUGAAUCUUCCCUGACUCCUUGAGAGUCCUGAAGGGACGUUGAAGACGACGACGUUGAUAGGCCGGGUGUGUAAGCGCAGCGAUGCGUUGAGCUAACCGGUACUAAUGACCCGUGAGGCUUAACCUUACAACGCCAGAAGCGUUCUG
Molecule: ribosomal RNA, 3019 nt
Filed under: Erwinia sp. Ejp617
Lineage: Bacteria; Pseudomonadati; Pseudomonadota; Gammaproteobacteria; Enterobacterales; Erwiniaceae
Description: bacterial LSU rRNA
Rfam family: Bacterial large subunit ribosomal RNA
Source: RNAcentral